UGGGGAAUAUUGCACAAUGGGCGAAAGCCUGAUGCAGCGACGCCGCGUGCGGGAUGACGGCCUUCGGGUUGUAAACCGCUUUCGGCAGGGAAGAAGCCGCAAGGUGACGGUACCUGCAGAAGAAGCGCCGGCUAACUACGUGCCAGCAGCCGCGGUAAUACGUAGGGCGCAAGCGUUGUCCGGAAUUAUUGGGCGUAAAGAGCUCGUAGGCGGUUCGUCGCGUCUGCUGUGAAAUCCUCAGGCUCAACCUGGGGCGUGCAGUGGGUACGGGCGGACUAGAGUGCGGUAGGGGUGACUGGAAUUCCUGGUGUAGCGGUGGAAUGCGCAGAUAUCAGGAGGAACACCGAUGGCGAAGGCAGGUCACUGGGCCGCAACUGACGCUGAGGAGCGAAAGCAUGGGGAGCGAACA
RNAcentral lists this ribosomal RNA (409 nucleotides) under uncultured bacterium. RNAcentral's name for it is "bacterial SSU rRNA". It matches the Rfam family "Bacterial small subunit ribosomal RNA", at positions 355 to 774 of the family's 1533-position model. The record is from RNAcentral.